GUAGAACGCUGAAGAGAGGAGCUUGCUCUUCUUGGAUGAGUUGCGAACGGGUGAGUAACGCGUAGGUAACCUGCCUUGUAGCGGGGGAUAACUAUUGGAAACGAUAGCUAAUACCGCAUAACAAUGGAUGACACAUGUCAUUUAUUUGAAAGGGGCAAUUGCUCCACUACAAGAUGGACCUGCGUUGUAUUAGCUAGUAGGUGAGGUAACGGCUCACCUAGGCGACGAUACAUAGCCGACCUGAGAGGGUGAUCGGCCACACUGGGACUGAGACACGGCCCAGACUCCUACGGGAGGCAGCAGUAGGGAAUCUUCGGCAAUGGGGGCAACCCUGACCGAGCAACGCCGCGUGAGUGAAGAAGGUUUUCGGAUCGUAAAGCUCUGUUGUAAGUCAAGAACGAGUGUGAGAGUGGAAAGUUCACACUGUGACGGUAGCUUACCAGAAAGGGACGGCUAACUACGUGCCAGCAGCCGCGGUAAUACGUAGGUCCCGAGCGUUGUCCGGAUUUAUUGGGCGUAAAGCGAGCGCAGGCGGUUUGAUAAGUCUGAAGUUAAAGGCUGUGGCUCAACCAUAGUUCGCUUUGGAAACUGUCAAACUUGAGUGCAGAAGGGGAGAGUGGAAUUCCAUGUGUAGCGGUGAAAUGCGUAGAUAUAUGGAGGAACACCGGUGGCGAAAGCGGCUCUCUGGUCUGUAACUGACGCUGAGGCUCGAAAGCGUGGGGAGCGAACAGGAUUAGAUACCCUGGUAGUCCACGCCGUAAACGAUGAGUGCUAGGUGUUGGAUCCUUUCCGGGAUUCAGUGCCGCAGCUAACGCAUUAAGCACUCCGCCUGGGGAGUACGACCGCAAGGUUGAAACUCAAAGGAAUUGACGGGGGCCCGCACAAGCGGUGGAGCAUGUGGUUUAAUUCGAAGCAACGCGAAGAACCUUACCAGGUCUUGACAUCCCGAUGCUAUUUCUAGAGAUAGAAAGUUACUUCGGUACAUCGGUGACAGGUGGUGCAUGGUUGUCGUCAGCUCGUGUCGUGAGAUGUUGGGUUAAGUCCCGCAACGAGCGCAACCCCUAUUGUUAGUUGCCAUCAUUCAGUUGGGCACUCUAGCGAGACUGCCGGUAAUAAACCGGAGGAAGGUGGGGAUGACGUCAAAUCAUCAUGCCCCUUAUGACCUGGGCUACACACGUGCUACAAUGGUUGGUACAACGAGUUGCGAGUCGGUGACGGCAAGCUAAUCUCUUAAAGCCAAUCUCAGUUCGGAUUGUAGGCUGCAACUCGCCUACAUGAAGUCGGAAUCGCUAGUAAUCGCGGAUCAGCACGCCGCGGUGAAUACGUUCCCGGGCCUUGUACACACCGCCCGUCACACCACGAGAGUUUGUAACACCCGAAGUCGGUGAGGUAACCUUUUGGAGCCAGCCGC
Molecule: ribosomal RNA, 1411 nt
Filed under: Streptococcus sp.
Lineage: Bacteria; Bacillati; Bacillota; Bacilli; Lactobacillales; Streptococcaceae
Description: bacterial SSU rRNA
Rfam family: Bacterial small subunit ribosomal RNA
Source: RNAcentral